UACGGAGGAUGCAAGCGUUAUCCGGAAUGAUUGGGCGUAAAGCGUCCGCAGGUGGCUGUGUAAGUCUGCUGUCAAAGAGCAAAGCUCAACUUUGUAAAGGCAGUGGAAACUACACGGCUAGAGUGCGUUCGGGGCAGAGGGAAUUCCUGGUGUAGCGGUGAAAUGCGUAGAUAUCGAGAGGAACACCUGCGGCGAAGGCGGGUUGCUGGGCCGACACUGACGCUGAUGCGCGAAAGCCAGGGGAGCGAACGGG
Molecule: ribosomal RNA, 253 nt
Filed under: uncultured bacterium
Lineage: Bacteria
Description: partial 16S ribosomal RNA
Rfam family: Bacterial small subunit ribosomal RNA
Source: RNAcentral